AACGCACGAGACCUGCGGACCUGCGGAAGGAUCAUUAAAGAGUUUAACUACUCAAACCAUUGUGAACCUUACCUCAACCGUUGCUUCGGCGGGCGGGCCCGGGCCAAGCCCGGCGCCCCCCCGGCCCCUCGCGGGCGCCCGCCGGAGGUUAACCGAACCCUUGAAUUGUAUGGCCUCUCUGAGUCUUCUGUACUGAAUAAGUCAAAACUUUCAGCAAUGGAUCUCUAGAUCGGAAGAGCA
Molecule: unclassified non-coding RNA, 240 nt
Filed under: soil metagenome
Description: partial contains 5.8S ribosomal RNA, internal transcribed spacer 2, and large subunit ribosomal RNA
Source: RNAcentral